AGUAGAAGAAAGCCUCAAUUCUGUUAGGAGGUGAUUCAUUUGGUACUGCUCUAUCCACUCUGGAAGAAGAGGAUGAUGUAAAGAGGAAUCAUGAGCCAGACUCCUGCUUUACAGGAAGCACCAUGCUCUGCAGUCUCCAUGACCUGACCUCGACUUCCCAGCCACCCUGUGAAAGUGAUUUGACAGAUGAUCUUCCUCAACAUGGGUGAGGAACUUACACCAAGUCACAGAGCUCCUGAUUGUCGAGGUUGUCCUCCCCCAG
This 262-nucleotide long non-coding RNA is filed under the name Fukomys damarensis (Damara mole-rat). RNAcentral describes it as "lncRNA (ENSFDAG00000029966.1)". The record is from RNAcentral. Lineage: Eukaryota; Metazoa; Chordata; Mammalia; Rodentia; Bathyergidae.